GCCCAAACCAAAUAAUUAAAUAUCAAAUAGAAUAUUUAAAAUAAACUAUUUAUAAUAAAAUUAGUCUUCACCUGUUUUAUCCAACAAUGUCAUUCUCUUGUGUGUGACCUUUUAGGUGCCGAAUACCAAAUAAGCUGGCAAUAGAUAAUUUGAUUAAUCAAAUUAAUCUAACUUUACAUAAUUAGAAACCAAUAUAAUUUAACCUUAUAUGGAUAUCCAUAAAUGAAUAGUAACAUCUAGUACUGGUUAUCAACUACCUAGAUUAGUCAAAAUAUGUUUGAAUUAAUACAACAUGUAUUUUGGCAUUAAUGUCGAUGACUUGACACUGGGUUACCAUAACUAACCAAUUAUGUGUUGUCACAUCAAAUGCUUUUCAGGCAUACUCAUAUACAAAGACGAAUCCACAAAAUAAAUGUGGUGUCUUUGGUCAAAAGAUUACUUUAUAUUAGCCCAAACUAUCGGGUUCUCAUAUGACAUGAAUAUGAAACAUUUUAUUUGAUUGUAUUCAGUGAACUCAUUCUCUGUUGAGCACCUACAUACUUUUCUUGGUGCUUUCAUUCACUGACUCAAGAUAAACACUUUUAAAGAGGGAAGACAUAAUAUGUAUUGAUAUUAUCGGCUUAAUUUUUGAAAUGCCCCCGAAACUCAACAACUCUGGACUUAUCGUGCUCCACAGGCUCAUUAGUGAUGCCACCAUCAUCCUAUUUAGGAUAGUGGGCGAUGUUUGUCGACUUCGCUGAGAUUGAUCAUUCUUGUUCCGUAAGAUACGGAAACCUGAUCCAGUAUGGAAUCAACCUAAGACGAUGAAUAUCUACUCCUAGAUAUCAUCUGAGAUUCUCCCAGUUUAUACGGAUUCUAUAUCUUACAAGGUCUCUCUGUUGACUAGUAUAAAUACACUUUUUUAGGGUUCGUCUCUGGUAACACAAUUAUCGCAUACUAUUCUCUUACCAGCUAAUUGAGUCCCACAAACAGCUUACUAACUUGACCAUCGAAGAACCUUUGGCCAACAAUCUACUGGUGCCAAGGUUUUCUUACGAUUGUUUAUUAUUUUACAUGUAGUUAAACUUGUGUAUCUCCUCUUCACACGGUGGUUGGCGAAUUUGGUUCAAACAAUUGGUGAUUUCAUUAAGAGUGAACUCAUAUUCCCCCGAUCAAGUCACUCUAUCACAAUCAUGUAUGCCAAAGAAAGCUCAGUUAACACCAACAUUAACAGCUUAAAGAAAAACAAUCCACUUUCGAUGCCUCUGUUACCCCAAGCAUGAGCAGCCUGACGCCAAACGCCUUAGCCAUCCUAGGGAACAACGAUGCUCCCGCUGCUUGAACAACCUCCACCAUGGAUCAUAUAUAUGAGACCUUACAAAAGAUUAACGCCUCUGUUGACGAGUUGUAGAAGACUUAUAUGGCUUCUCGAGCGAAGAACCAUGCAAACUUUAUGGGCAUCAAUAGACGGAUGAAAGCCUUGAAGAAAUCAGUGGGACAACACCAAAAACCCAGGUUUCCAUCUUCAGCUAUAGGAAUUUAAGCACCAUAACUCUAUAAGAACAACCAAUUGCAUUGACAUCCGUUCUGAGUCUAGUAGAAAUUGAUGAUCUGAACACGAGUGUGGAACAAUGUAACCGCUAAAUCGUCAAUCGUGCCUCUGUAGGCAAGGUUCGAGUGUGAUGCGACUUCGGUCUUUUGGACAUUGUGUGAGCACUCUGCAUGGAACCUCGACAUUUGAACUUUGACAAUCCAUAGUCAUUAAGAUAACAAG
RNAcentral lists this long non-coding RNA (1753 nucleotides) under Malus domestica (apple). Its description in RNAcentral is "long non-coding RNA (MDOM_LNC016823)". The record is from RNAcentral. Lineage: Eukaryota; Viridiplantae; Streptophyta; Magnoliopsida; Rosales; Rosaceae.